Molecule: long non-coding RNA, 293 nt
Filed under: Vigna radiata
Lineage: Eukaryota; Viridiplantae; Streptophyta; Magnoliopsida; Fabales; Fabaceae
Description: long non-coding RNA (VRAD_LNC001959)
Source: RNAcentral
UCGAUUAGGCUCAUAAUAAUCUUUAUCUAUCAAUUGCUUCCUUAGCAAAAGUUCCUUCAAAAGCUGUUUUGUUUUGGAGCUCUUUGCUGCAAAUGCAUUAUUAUGGCUUUGAUUUGUGCUUGAGAAUGUGGAAGGUGGUAGAAGACGAGCUUCUUGGCAGAUGAGAAUCGACGUGAAGAGAAGGACAAGGUAUAAUGUUCUCAAACAUGCCAUAAUGAUAAAAGUAAACAAACCCAACCAAAGUUUUAUGGGAAGAAACUAAAGAAGUGAUAGUGAAUAUAUAAAGAGGCCCC